CUUCCGUUAAUUGAUUAUGACGUACUUGUACUGAUUGAGAUUUUAACACGAAGUGAGUGGCGAACGGGUGAGUAACACGUGGGUAACCUGCCCAGAAGUAGGGGAUAACACCUGGAAACAGAUGCUAAUACCGUAUAACAGAGAAAACCGCAUGGUUUUCUUUUAAAAGAUGGCUCUGCUAUCACUUCUGGAUGGACCCGCGGCGUAUUAGCUAGUUGGUGAGGUAAAGGCUCACCAAGGCAGUGAUACGUAGCCGACCUGAGAGGGUAAUCGGCCACAUUGGGACUGAGACACGGCCCAGACUCCUACGGGAGGCAGCAGUAGGGAAUCUUCCACAAUGGACGCAAGUCUGAUGGAGCAACGCCGCGUGAGUGAAGAAGGGUUUCGGCUCGUAAAGCUCUGUUGUUAAAGAAGAACGUGGGUAAGAGUAACUGUUUACCCAGUGACGGUAUUUAACCAGAAAGCCACGGCUAACUACGUGCCAGCAGCCGCGGUAAUACGUAGGUGGCAAGCGUUAUCCGGAUUUAUUGGGCGUAAAGCGAGCGCAGGCGGUCUUUUAAGUCUAAUGUGAAAGCCUUCGGCUCAACCGAAGAAGUGCAUUGGAAACUGGGAGACUUGAGUGCAGAAGAGGACAGUGGAACUCCAUGUGUAGCGGUGAAAUGCGUAGAUAUAUGGAAGA
RNAcentral lists this ribosomal RNA (679 nucleotides) under Pediococcus pentosaceus. RNAcentral describes it as "bacterial SSU rRNA". It matches the Rfam family "Bacterial small subunit ribosomal RNA", at positions 63 to 705 of the family's 1533-position model. Lineage: Bacteria; Bacillati; Bacillota; Bacilli; Lactobacillales; Lactobacillaceae. The record is from RNAcentral.